This 311-nucleotide unclassified non-coding RNA is filed under the name plant metagenome. RNAcentral's name for it is "partial contains 5.8S ribosomal RNA, internal transcribed spacer 2, and large subunit ribosomal RNA". The stretch from base 1 to 105 matches the Rfam family "5.8S ribosomal RNA", at positions 50 to 154 of the family's 154-position model. The record is from RNAcentral.
GAAAUGCGAUAAGUAGUGUGAAUUGCAGAAUUCAGUGAAUCAUCGAAUCUUUGAACGCACAUUGCGCCCCCUGGUAUUCCGGGGGGCAUGCCUGUCCGAGCGUCAUUGCUGCCCUCAAGCACGGCUUGUGUGUUGGGCCCCGUCCCCUCCCCCGGGGACGGGCCCGAAAGGCAGCGGCGGCACCGCGUCCGAUCCUCGAGCGUAUGGGGCUUUGUCACCCGCUCUGUAGGCCCGGCCGGCGCCAGCCGACACCCAACUUUUAUUUCUAAGGUUGACCUCGGAUCAGGUAGGGAUACCCGCUGAACUUAAGC